RNAcentral lists this ribosomal RNA (440 nucleotides) under uncultured bacterium. RNAcentral describes it as "partial 16S ribosomal RNA". It matches the Rfam family "Bacterial small subunit ribosomal RNA", at positions 338 to 795 of the family's 1533-position model. The record is from RNAcentral.
CCUACGGGUGGCAGCAGUGGGGAAUAUUGCACAAUGGGGGCAACCCUGAUGCAGCGACGCCGCGUGAGUGAUGAAGUAAUUCGUUAUGUAAAGCUCUAUCAGCAGGGAAGAAAAUGACGGUACCUGAGUAAGAAGCCCCGGAUAACUACGUGACAGCAGCCGCGGCAAUACGUAGGGGGCCAGCGUUAUCCGGAUUUACGGGGUGUAAAGGGAGCGUAGACGGCAGUGCAAGUCAGGAGUGAAAGGCUGGGGCUCAACCCCCGGACUGCUCUGGAAACUGUACGGCUUGAGUGCAGGAGAGGUAAGUGGAAUUCCUAGUGUAGCGGUGAAAUGCGUAGAUAUUAGGAGGAACACCAGUGGCGAAGGCGGCUUACUGGACUGUAACUGACGUUGAGGCUCGAAAGCGUGGGGAGCAAACAGGAUUAGAUACCCCAGUAGUC